This 68-nucleotide microRNA precursor is filed under the name Nematostella vectensis (starlet sea anemone). RNAcentral's name for it is "microRNA nve-mir-9417 precursor". Lineage: Eukaryota; Metazoa; Cnidaria; Anthozoa; Actiniaria; Edwardsiidae. The record is from miRBase by way of RNAcentral.
GAGUGCGGGACUCUCUGAGGAUCUCAGCGAGUUUGAGAGUGAGAACGUAUCGGCAGGGUCUCGCUUGG